This 162-nucleotide ribosomal RNA is filed under the name Pseudomonas mandelii. Its description in RNAcentral is "partial 16S ribosomal RNA". It matches the Rfam family "Bacterial small subunit ribosomal RNA", at positions 1373 to 1533 of the family's 1533-position model. The record is from RNAcentral. Lineage: Bacteria; Pseudomonadati; Pseudomonadota; Gammaproteobacteria; Pseudomonadales; Pseudomonadaceae.
CCCGGGCCUUGUACACACCGCCCGUCACACCAUGGGAGUGGGUUGCUCCAGAAGUAGCUAGUCUAACCCUCGGGAGGACGGUUACCACGGAGUGAUUCAUGACUGGGGUGAAGUCGUAACAAGGUAGCCGUAGGGGAACCUGCGGCUGGAUCACCUCCUUAA